AGUAGUAAUACGAGAUGACCUUAGCGGCGGACGGGUGAGUAACGCGUGAGCAACCUGGCCUAUACAGGGGGAUAACAGGGAGAAAUUCCUGCUAAUACCGCAUAAGACCACAGUAUCGCAUGGUAGUGAGGUCAAAGGAGAGAUUCGGUAUAGGAUGGGCUCGCGUCCCAUUAGCUAGUUGGGGGUGCAACGGACCACCAAGGCGACGAUGGGUAGCCGACCUGAGAGGGUGAUCGGCCACACUGGGACUGAGACACGGCCCAGACUCC
RNAcentral lists this ribosomal RNA (269 nucleotides) under uncultured bacterium. RNAcentral's name for it is "partial 16S ribosomal RNA". It matches the Rfam family "Bacterial small subunit ribosomal RNA", at positions 75 to 339 of the family's 1533-position model. The record is from RNAcentral.